Molecule: long non-coding RNA, 251 nt
Filed under: Daucus carota (carrot)
Lineage: Eukaryota; Viridiplantae; Streptophyta; Magnoliopsida; Apiales; Apiaceae
Description: long non-coding RNA (DCAR_LNC007064)
Source: RNAcentral
AAGUCCAAUUUCAAGUAUUUGGGACUUGAUUAUUUAUUUGAAAAAUGAUUCUUUUAUCGAUUUUAAUUCCGAAAAAUGUUUAAAAAUUCUGGAAAAUUCCCGAAAAAUCAUUUUCAACCCAAGACUUGAUUUGACAUCAAUUGGGAUGGGAGACUUAAUGUGUAAUGGGUUGUCUGCUAUCGGUGUAAGGUAUUAUAUGUUGAGAGCGGAAUCAGAAAACGGUUUUGAGCAUAUCUUUUGAUCCGUAAGUC